UCAAACUUGGUCAUUUAGAGGAAGUAAAAGUCGUAACAAGGUCUCCGUUGGUGAACCAGCGGAGGGAUCAUUAUCGAGAGUGAAAACUCCCUUAAAACCACUGUUUAUCUACCUGUUUGUUGCUUCGGCAGGCGGUCCCGGGGGGGCUGUAGCCUGUAAAGGCGCCUGCCGAACGCAUCCAAACUCUGCUAUAACUGUCAUCAGAGUCAACUGAAGAAUAAGUAAAAACUUUCAACAACGGAUCUCUUGGUUUGGGCAUCGAUGAAGAACGCAGC
RNAcentral lists this unclassified non-coding RNA (275 nucleotides) under uncultured fungus. RNAcentral describes it as "partial contains small subunit ribosomal RNA, internal transcribed spacer 1, and 5.8S ribosomal RNA". The stretch from base 1 to 73 matches the Rfam family "Eukaryotic small subunit ribosomal RNA", at positions 1759 to 1831 of the family's 1831-position model. Lineage: Eukaryota; Fungi. The record is from RNAcentral.